This is a long non-coding RNA of Oncorhynchus keta (chum salmon), 479 nucleotides long. RefSeq lists it as uncharacterized. The record is from RefSeq and is a predicted model, not a curated record. NCBI's taxonomy places the organism in Eukaryota, Metazoa, Chordata, Actinopteri, Salmoniformes, Salmonidae. The transcript has 3 exons.
UGCUGGCUACAGAACUCACCACUCAGGUUUAUUACUGGUGCUGGCUACAGAACUCACCACUCAGGUUUAUUACUGGUGCUGGCUACAGAACUCACCACUCAGGUUUAUUACUGGUGCUGGCUACAGAACUCACCACUCAGGUUUAUUACUGGUGCUGGCUACAGAACUCACCACUCAGGUUUAUUACUGGUGCUGGCUACAGAACUCACCACUCAGGUUUAUUACUGGUGCUGGCUACAGAACUCACCACUCAGGUUUAUUACUGGUGCUGGCUACAGAACUCACCACUCAGGUUUAUUACUGGUGCUGGCUACAGAACUCACCACUCAGGUUUAUUACUGGUGCUGGCUACAGAACUCACCACUCAGGUUUAUUACUGGUGCUGGCUACAGAACUCACCACUCAGGUUUAUUACGGUGGCUACAGAACUCACCACUCAGGUUUAUUACGGUGGCUACAGAACUCACCACUCAGGUUUA